Molecule: non-coding RNA, 98 nt
Organism: Termitomyces sp. Mi166#008
Lineage: Eukaryota; Fungi; Basidiomycota; Agaricomycetes; Agaricales; Lyophyllaceae
Source: the annotation of a GenBank genome assembly
GGGCACAUGGUGUAGUUGGUUAUCACGCCCGCUUAGCAUCCCGCUCAAAGGUGUUGGAUUAAUGCGGGCGGUGCCCGGUUCAAUUCCGGGUGUGUCCA